CCUACGGGUGGCAGCAGUGAGGAAUAUUGGUCAAUGGGCGAGAGCCUGAACCAGCCAAGUCGCGUGAGGGAGUACUGCCCUAUGGGUUGUAAACCUCUUUUGUCGGGGAGCAAAAGCCGGACGUGUCCGGCUGUGAGAGUACCCGAAGAAAAAGCAUCGGCUAACUCCGUGCCAGCAGCCGCGGUAAUACGGAGGAUGCGAGCGUUAUCCGGAUUUAAUGGGUUUAAAGGGUGCGCAGGCGGAUUUUUAAGUCAGCGGUCAAAGCGUGGGGCUCAAACCCAUCCAGCCGUUGAAACUGGGGCUCUAGAGUGUGCGAGAGGUAUGCGGAAUGCGUGGUGUAGCGGUGAAAUGCAGAGAUAGCACGCAGAACCCCGAUUGCGAAGGCAGCAUACCGGUGCACAACUGACGCUCAGGCACGAAAGCGUGGGUAUCGAACAGGAUUAGAUACCCCAGUAGUC
Molecule: ribosomal RNA, 458 nt
Filed under: uncultured bacterium
Lineage: Bacteria
Description: partial 16S ribosomal RNA
Rfam family: Bacterial small subunit ribosomal RNA
Source: RNAcentral